Xiphias gladius (swordfish) is the source of this 386-nucleotide long non-coding RNA. RefSeq lists it as uncharacterized. The transcript is spliced from 3 exons. The record is from RefSeq and is a predicted model, not a curated record. Lineage: Eukaryota; Metazoa; Chordata; Actinopteri; Istiophoriformes; Xiphiidae.
CCUUGGAAGAUCCUCACUCCGCCGUCUAACCUACGGCUCGGGCACGGUGGAAGGUGGCGAGCCCCGCGAGCUGUGCACCGUUAGCGCUUCCGAUGUGGCGAGAUUGGACCGCCGCACUGCCGCUGUGCCGAGCAUGGACCCGUGACAAGUUGGACUGUAUUGCCAUUUUUCCCAUCUACUUGUACCGCUUUUGACCGGCGCAUCAGUAAAUGUUCUGAGACACCAUGAUCCAGCCAGAGGAGGAUAAUCACGCACCCUCAGUAGACAGCAUGGACACCAAAAGGCACUCUGCUGAAAGGUGACCUCCUGACACUUCACCUCCCCAAAACAUUUGGUGGAUCAUUGGUGUGAAAAAGUACGGACAACACUGGUUCCAGUAGCCUCUG